GUGAGGAAUAUUGCGCAAUGGACGAAAGUCUGACGCAGCCAUGCCGCGUGCAGGAUGACGGCCCUAUGGGUUGUAAACUGCUUUUGUAUAGGAAGAAACUUGACUACGUGUAGUUGACUGACGGUACUAUAUGAAUAAGCAUCGGCUAACUCCGUGCCAGCAGCCGCGGUAAUACGGAGGAUGCAAGCGUUAUCCGGAUUUAUUGGGUUUAAAGGGUGCGUAGGCGGAAACUUAAGUCAGUGGUGAAAUCCUGCAGCUUAACUGUAGCACUGCCAUUGAUACUGAGAUUCUUGAGUACGGUUGAGGUAGGCGGAAUGUGUAAUGUAGCGGUGAAAUGCUUAGAUAUUACACAGAACACCGAUUGCGUAGGCAGCUUACUAAGCCGCAACUGACGCUGAGGCACGAAAGCGUGGGGAUCGAACAGGAUUAGAAACCCUUGUAGUCC
This 445-nucleotide ribosomal RNA is filed under the name uncultured Bacteroidota bacterium. RNAcentral describes it as "bacterial SSU rRNA". It matches the Rfam family "Bacterial small subunit ribosomal RNA", at positions 354 to 796 of the family's 1533-position model. The record is from RNAcentral. Lineage: Bacteria; Pseudomonadati; Bacteroidota.